RNAcentral lists this ribosomal RNA (443 nucleotides) under uncultured bacterium. RNAcentral describes it as "partial 16S ribosomal RNA". It matches the Rfam family "Bacterial small subunit ribosomal RNA", at positions 338 to 795 of the family's 1533-position model. The record is from RNAcentral.
CCUACGGGCGGCAGCAGUGGGGAAUAUUUGGCAAUGGGCGCAAGCCUGACCCAGCAACGCCGCGUGAAGGAAGAAGGCUUUCGGGUUGUAAACUUCUUUUGUCAGGGACGAAGCAAGUGACGGUACCUGACGAAUAAGCCACGGCUAACUACGUGCCAGCAGCCGCGGUAAUACGUAGGUGGCAAGCGUUAUCCGGAUUUAUUGGGUGUAAAGGGCGUGUAGGCGGGAAUGCAAGUAAGAUGUGAAAGCUAUGGGCUCAACCCAUAGCCUGCAUUUGAAACUGUAUUUCUUGAGUGCUGGAGAGGCAAUCGGAAUUCCGUGUGUAGCGGUGAAAUGCGUAGAUAUACGGAGGAACACCAGUGGCGAAGGCGGAUUGCUGGACAGUAACUGACGCUGAGGCGCGAAAGCGUGGGGAGCAAACAGGAUUAGAUACCCUUGUAGUC